CUCCCCUUUGCCCCUGGAGUCACCCCCAUGUUCUCUAUAUGUUUGAGGAAGGAAAAGUAUGUACCUAGCAGAGGGACAACUUGGAUCCAAGGUCAUCCCCUGGGUUCCGUCCCUCAUUCAAAACAGAGAGCCUUCACCCAAACUUCAAGCAACACAACACGAGACAAGGAUACAGCACAGGCUAUGGGUUUAAUUCGCAGCAAAGUCUGUGAGGCAGAUGUUCAUGGGAAGGUUGUGAUCGUGACUUAUGGCAGAAGCAGAACCUGAGGCCCGUGUGCAUUUGGGUAUACGUGCUACAUGGGAAGGAAGAGAACAAGACUGUCGAUAUGGAACCGCUCGUCCAGCACAUCGGAGGUACUCAGUAAAUGUGAGGUCACCGGCUUUACAGAAUUAUGUGACUAGGGCCCCAGAAACCAGAUCCUUGCUGCAGCAGUGCCAAGAGACCGUGGGCAGGCAAAUGCCAAGUCCCAGACAGUACAUCAUCACCAGGGAGAUAACCUUGAGCUGGCAGGGACCGCCAGUCAUGCAUCGGGGCCGAGCUGAGCCAAGAGUGCUAACAAAAAGGGUCUUGUCCCUGCACCAUUGUCUGGAGAUCAAGCCUUCCAGCGGCCCAGGCCUGGGCCUGGACAAGGGACAACAUCUACAGGAAGAGUGUUGCUCUGCCCAGAGAUGUAAACUUGUGGUUCAUGAGCCACAGACAGGCCAAAUGACCAGCCCUGAAAGCACCAGCCUACAGGGGCCCUGGUGACAGACCAGCGGUGUUAAUAUGAAGGAAGAAACAGGGAGACAGAAGAGAAGAUCAACCAUCUGAGAGAGCCAGGCCCAGAACCAGAUCUUGUCUGGGGAACAGAGGAAGUCUGAAGCUUCGCUUUGGAUAGCUGUUCGAACUGUCUCUUCGGACAUUUCAUUCCAAACCUGCUUAUUGUUUUGUCCUCACAGCUUCAUCAGCAGUCUCCACUUUACUGAUGGCAGUUGAGGUAGUGGCCUGACUCCAGCAGUCCCUACCUCUCUCUGCCCCCUGGUGACCUUCUAGCUGCAAACGCAGCGGCUUCUUUCUAACCAGCAGCCGCGGUGCUGUGCUCUGAUUUCCUGGUUUACAGCGCCACCGUUUGGACAGUUUUAACUAAGAGGCGAUCGCUCCGUCUCGCGUUCAUCGGCAAUCUUCCACUGCGAGUAUGCUGAAUGUGGGUAAUGUCAAAUGCUGAAUGUCAAUAGGUUUAGCCCCCACCAGAGCUUCAUCCAUGCUGGGUUAUCAUGAAGGGCUGUGCUAGAGAUGUGAAUAGGAACCAAGGAACUGGCUACGACUCCCAAUCUCUGUCAUCUCACUUGUGCCCAAACUAUCCCAGGUUCUCUGUUCCCUGUCCCCUCCACCACCUCCCACCUUCCUUCAGCACUAGACACAUCCUGUAUGUCCACCUUGCUACUUCCCGGUCCACCUCAGCCCUCCUACCUCAGCUUCUGACUGCUGCCGAGCCAUCGCCACACAAAGAAUAAAUGUUUAUUACAUUUUA
Rattus norvegicus (Norway rat) is the source of this 1511-nucleotide non-coding RNA. Lineage: Eukaryota; Metazoa; Chordata; Mammalia; Rodentia; Muridae. The record is from RefSeq and is a predicted model, not a curated record.